RNAcentral lists this ribosomal RNA (198 nucleotides) under uncultured bacterium. Its description in RNAcentral is "partial 16S ribosomal RNA". It matches the Rfam family "Bacterial small subunit ribosomal RNA", at positions 328 to 539 of the family's 1533-position model. The record is from RNAcentral.
ACGCUCGACACCUACGGGGGGCAGCAGUGGGGGAUAUUGCACAAUGGGCGCAAGCCUGAUGCAGCGACGCCGCGUGAGGGAAGACGGUCUUCGGAUUGUAAACCUCUGUCUUCGGGGACGAUAAUGACGGUACCCGAGGAGGAAGCCACGGCUAACUACGUGCCGGCAGCCGCGGUAAUCUGAGCGGGCUGGCAAGGC